Molecule: long non-coding RNA, 249 nt
Filed under: Capsella rubella
Lineage: Eukaryota; Viridiplantae; Streptophyta; Magnoliopsida; Brassicales; Brassicaceae
Description: long non-coding RNA (CRUB_LNC000783)
Source: RNAcentral
UGGUGGACAAUUUGCAAGAAGGCAAAGAGAUACAUAUAGAGAGCGGUGUAAGGGACGUAGAAGGAUAAAGAUAUAGAAUAGAAAAGAUUACUCUAACUAAUGUUUUUUAAUACUUUGCCAACCAAAAACUUGAAAAUAGUUACCAAAGUAGAGUACAUUAACUAAUGGUCCUCCACACGACUUACUGAGUACAUUAGGUUUGGCAAAUGCGCCAGUAGGUAUUGAAUGAAAGACGUACGGACGUUGUUC